GCUUAAAUGUGUUGCACCCUCUGGGGUAAACUUUGCCAGCCCGAAAUCCGCCACCUUGGCCUCGAAUCUUUCAUCCAAAAGUAUAUUACCGGCUUUAAUAUCCCUGUGAAUGAUUCCUGGUUGAGCUCCAUGAUGCAAGUAAGCCAAUCCUCUGGCGGUCCCCAGUGCAAUCUUUUGCCUAAUAGGCCAACUGAGCUUUUCCCUCCGAGAUCCAAACAGGUGGUCAUGUAAACUCCCAUUCUUAAUCAAAUCACACACAAUUAUCCUCUGGUGACCCUCAAAUGGAGUAGUGGCAGUACA
Molecule: unclassified non-coding RNA, 300 nt
Filed under: Hevea brasiliensis (rubber tree)
Lineage: Eukaryota; Viridiplantae; Streptophyta; Magnoliopsida; Malpighiales; Euphorbiaceae
Source: RNAcentral